Molecule: ribosomal RNA, 1233 nt
Filed under: Triticum aestivum (bread wheat)
Lineage: Eukaryota; Viridiplantae; Streptophyta; Magnoliopsida; Poales; Poaceae
Description: partial small subunit ribosomal RNA
Source: RNAcentral
AUGCUAUUAGAGCGGACAAAUCAAGGCAUACUAAACCAAGGGGUCAUUGACGAGGUGGCAGAGCUUUGUCAAGUUAAUUACCGGACUGUUCAAAACAUAUGGUCGAGAGGCAAGAAAGCCGGUGGUAUUCAUGGAGUACCAAACAAAAGGGUGAAAACUUGUGGCCGCAAGAAGAUACCGUUUGAUUCAGAUGCCAUAAAAAAGAUUGAAUUGAGCAAAAGAACUACGCUCAAAGAUCUUGCUAAUGAGCUUCAAAUGGCGAAGACAACUUUAUGGAGAAGGUUGAAGGAGGGCAGACUAAAGCGCCAUACAAAUUCAAUUAAAUCCACAUUGACUGAUGACAACAAGGUAGGUCGGAUUCAGUUUUGUUUAUCCAUGUUGGAUGAGCUAAGUGUGCCUGAAGAACCCAGAUUUAAAGGCAUGUACAAUGUCAUUCAUAUUGAUGAGAAGUGGUUCUACCGCACUAAAGGUACUCAGAACUACUACUUGGCACCUGAUGAAGAAGAACCCUAUCGCAGCACACAGAGCAAGGGAUUUAUCGAGAAAGUGAUGUUCUUGGCAGCAGUAGCAAGGCCUCGUUAUGAUGAUCAUGGUGUCAUGACAUUUGAUGGCAAGAUUGGAAUUUGGCCAUUCACAUAUCAGGACUUUGCAAAGAGGCGUAGCCCUUACCGAGAGAGGGGGGAAGAGGUAACCAAGGUUUUGCCGUCGGUGACGAAGGAUGUUAGUAGAGAUUAUAUGGUGAACAAGCUUCUACCUGCCAUCAAGGCUUUGUGGCCGGCUUCGGAACGCGGACGCAUAAUAUACAUUCAGCAAGAUAAUGCAAAGACCCAUAUUGCUGUGAAUGACAGUGUGUUUUGUGCAGCGGCACAGGCGGAUGGAUGGGAUAUUAGGCUUACAUGUCAGCCGCCGAACUCACCUGAUUUGAACAUUCUUGACUUUGGGUUCUUUGCGGCACUUCAGGCUCUUUUUGAGAAGAUGUCCCUUGGUAAAAUUGUUGAUAUUGUUGCAAAGGUGAAAAAAGCAUAUGACACGUACCCGGCUGAGAGAAGCAACCGUAUUUUUCUUACCCUUCAGUCAUGCAUGUGCGAGGUACUGAAGCAGAAAGGAGGUAACCGGUACAAGGUUCCGCAAAUGAGGAAGUCAUUUCUGGCGGCACUCAAAAUGCUUACGGACUUAGUACCCUGCGAUGCUGAUGUUGUAAUUGCUGCUAUUGAAUCCCUUCCAGAUGCUUGA